Molecule: ribosomal RNA, 301 nt
Filed under: uncultured bacterium
Lineage: Bacteria
Description: partial 16S ribosomal RNA
Rfam family: Bacterial small subunit ribosomal RNA
Source: RNAcentral
CAGUAGCCGCGGGAAUACAGAGGGUGCGAGCGUUAAUCGGAUUUACUGUGCGUAAAGCGUGCGUAGGCGGCUUUUUAAGUCGGAUGUGAAAUCCCUGAGCUUAACUUAGGAAUUGCAUUCGAUACUGGGAAGCUAGAGUAUGGGAGAGGAUGGUAGAAUUCCAGGUGUAGCGGUGAAAUGCGUAGAGAUCUGGAGGAAUACCGAUGGCGAAGGCAGCCAUCUGGCCUAAUACUGACGCUGAGGUACGAAAGCAUGGGGAGCAAACAGGAUUAGAUACCCGGGUAGUCCCUGUCUCUUAUAA